Molecule: non-coding RNA, 357 nt
Organism: Nelumbo nucifera (sacred lotus)
Lineage: Eukaryota; Viridiplantae; Streptophyta; Magnoliopsida; Proteales; Nelumbonaceae
Source: RefSeq, a predicted model, not a curated record
UGGUGUGAUCCCGAUGAGAAAAUAAAACUAGGAGAAAAAAAUAUCAGGCCCUUCCUCUCAACCUUGAGCAACUGACCCUCACUGCAUACUUGCGUCUACAAUGGUCAAGUCACUGGCAUCGUUUCCAUCGAUCUCCGGCUAAGAGUUCAAACCUUCUUGCUAAAUCGUGCCAAGAUCUCUUAUUGGUAGCAGAGCAAAUCCUGUAUUUCAAAGAAAACGAUCUGCCUUUGUCGGGCAUCUCUUCAUUGACAAAGUUAGACUUCAAAUGCAGCAUGAGGACAUGAAACGAGCAAUAUCUACAUUUUAUGGUGGUUGUUUAUGGAAUGGAGGCUACUACAAACAAGAGUGGACAUAUGG